GUGCUCUACGGGGCGCAGCAGUGGGGGAUAUUGCACAAUGGGGGAAACCCUGAUGCAGCGACGCCGCGUGAGUGAAGAAGUAAUUCGUUACGUAAAGCUCUAUCAGCAGGGAAGAAAAUGACGGUACCUGACUAAGAAGCCCCGGCUAACUACGUGCCAGCAGCCGCGGUACUACGUAGGGGGCAAGCGCUAUCCGGAAUUACUGGGCGUAAAGGGAGCGCAGCCGGCAGUGCAAGUCUGGAGUGAAAGCCCGUGGCUUAACUACGUGACUGCUCUGGCAACUUUGCACCUCGAGCGCAGUAGAG
RNAcentral lists this ribosomal RNA (305 nucleotides) under uncultured bacterium. RNAcentral's name for it is "bacterial SSU rRNA". It matches the Rfam family "Bacterial small subunit ribosomal RNA", at positions 334 to 656 of the family's 1533-position model. The record is from RNAcentral.